This 520-nucleotide ribosomal RNA is filed under the name uncultured Glomus. RNAcentral's name for it is "SSU rRNA". It matches the Rfam family "Eukaryotic small subunit ribosomal RNA", at positions 569 to 1090 of the family's 1831-position model. The record is from RNAcentral. Lineage: Eukaryota; Fungi; Glomeromycota; Glomeromycetes; Glomerales; Glomeraceae.
AGCAGCCGCGGUAAUUCCAGCUCCAAUAGCGUAUAUUAAAGUUGUUGCAGUUAAAAAGCUCGUAGUUGAAUUUCGGGGUCAGUAGGCUGGUCGUGCCACGGGUAUGUACUGGUCUUACUGAUUCCUCCUUCCUGAUGAACCGUAAUGCCAUUAAUUUGGUGUUGCGGGGAAUCUGGACUGUUACUUUGAAAAAAUUAGAGUGUUUAAAGCAGGCUAACGCUUGAAUACAUUAGCAUGGAAUAAUGAAAUAGGACGAUCGAUCCUAUUUUGUUGGUUUCUAGGAUUGACGUAAUGAUUAAUAGGGAUAGGUUGGGGGCAUUAGUAUUCAAUUGUCAGAGGUGAAAUUCUUGGAUUUAUUGAAGACUUAACUACUGCGAAAGCAUUUGCCAAGGAUGUUUUCAUUAAUCAAGAACGAAAGUUAGGGGAUCGAAGACGAUCAGAUACCGUCGUAGUCUUAACCAUAAACUAUGCCGACUAGGGAUCGGAUGAUGUUAAUUUUUAUGACUNAUUCGGCGCCUUA